GUCACUUGGCUGCGGCAGCCACUCCUUGGUCUGGGGCUGUCCUGAAGAUGAAUUCCAGUGCCCCAGAAGGAAUGACAGGGCAGCGGAGUCCUGCCAUCUCCCCCGAAAAAUGUCUACCGUGGGAUGAGAUCAACUACCAUAGCCAUCUU
Long non-coding RNA from Bos indicus x Bos taurus (hybrid cattle), 149 nucleotides. The record is from Ensembl. NCBI's taxonomy places the organism in Eukaryota, Metazoa, Chordata, Mammalia, Artiodactyla, Bovidae.